GAAGCAACGCGAAGAACCUUACCAGGUCUUGACAUCCUCUGACAAUCCUAGAGAUAGGACGUCCCCUUCGGGGGCAGAGUGACAGGUGGUGCAUGGUUGUCGUCAGCUCGUGUCGUGAGAUGUUGGGUUAAGUCCCGCAACGAGCGCAACCCUUGAUCUUAGUUGCCAGCAUUCAGUUGGGCACUCUAAGGUGACUGCCGGUGACAAACCGGAGGAAGGUGGGGAUGACGUCAAAUCAUCAUGCCCCUUAUGACCUGGGCUACACACGUGCUACAAUGGACAGAACAAAGGGCAGCGAAACCGCGAGGUUAAGCCAAUCCCACAAAUCUGUUCUCAGUUCGGAUCGCAGUCUGCAACUCGAGUGCGUGAAGCUGGAAUCGCUAGUAA
This 387-nucleotide ribosomal RNA is filed under the name Bacillus vallismortis. Its description in RNAcentral is "bacterial SSU rRNA". It matches the Rfam family "Bacterial small subunit ribosomal RNA", at positions 953 to 1341 of the family's 1533-position model. Lineage: Bacteria; Bacillati; Bacillota; Bacilli; Caryophanales; Bacillaceae. The record is from RNAcentral.